GGUCGGGCCCCGUGCAAUCGAAACCCGUCAACCCCGUCAGGUCCGGAAGGAAGCAGCGGCACAUGGGACCUUCGGUGUGCCGCGGGAUCACCUGACCCCU
Molecule: signal recognition particle RNA, 100 nt
Filed under: Nitrospirota bacterium
Lineage: Bacteria; Pseudomonadati; Nitrospirota
Description: Nitrospirae bacterium (groundwater metagenome) signal recognition particle sRNA small type
Rfam family: Bacterial small signal recognition particle RNA
About the family: The signal recognition particle (SRP) is a universally conserved ribonucleoprotein involved in the co-translational targeting of proteins to membranes. Archaeal SRP consists of a 7S RNA and homologues of the eukaryotic SRP19 and SRP54 proteins.
Source: RNAcentral